GGGACCCUUGGCAGAGCCAUAUACACCGUUGGAUUCUGGAUUCGCGAGACCGGUCAGGCCCUUGAUCGCCUUGGUUGCCGCCUCCAAGGCAACUACUACUUCCAAGAGCAACUGUCUAGACAUCGAACUCUUAUGAACAUAUUUGAUAAAGCCCCUGUGGUUGAUAAGGAUGCAUUUGUGGCCCCUAGUGCCUCUAUCAUUGGGGAUGUUCAAGU
RNAcentral lists this unclassified non-coding RNA (215 nucleotides) under Hevea brasiliensis (rubber tree). Lineage: Eukaryota; Viridiplantae; Streptophyta; Magnoliopsida; Malpighiales; Euphorbiaceae. The record is from RNAcentral.